GCUGGCAUAGCUCAUUGGUAGAGCAUGUGCUUUCCAUUCAUGAAGGCCUGGGUUUGAUCCCCAGAACCAGAA
Molecule: transfer RNA, 72 nt
Filed under: Fukomys damarensis (Damara mole-rat)
Lineage: Eukaryota; Metazoa; Chordata; Mammalia; Rodentia; Bathyergidae
Rfam family: tRNA
About the family: Transfer RNA (tRNA) molecules are approximately 80 nucleotides in length. Their secondary structure includes four short double-helical elements and three loops (D, anti-codon, and T loops). Further hydrogen bonds mediate the characteristic L-shaped molecular structure. tRNAs have two regions of fundamental functional importance: the anti-codon, which is responsible for specific mRNA codon recognition, and the 3' end, to which the tRNAs corresponding amino acid is attached (by aminoacyl-tRNA synthetases). tRNAs cope with the degeneracy of the genetic code in two manners: having more than one tRNA (with a specific anti-codon) for a particular amino acid; and 'wobble' base-pairing, i.e. permitting non-standard base-pairing at the 3rd anti-codon position.
Source: Rfam by way of RNAcentral